This 491-nucleotide ribosomal RNA is filed under the name uncultured bacterium. RNAcentral describes it as "partial 16S ribosomal RNA". It matches the Rfam family "Bacterial small subunit ribosomal RNA", at positions 29 to 506 of the family's 1533-position model. The record is from RNAcentral.
AGUGAACGCUGGCGGUAGGCCUAACACAUGCCAGUCGAACGGCAGCACAGUAAGAGCUUGCUCUUACGGGUGGCGAGUGGCGGACGGGUGAGGAAUACAUCGGAAUCUACUUUUUCGUGGGGGAUAACGUAGGGAAACUUACGCUAAUACCGCAUACGACCUACGGGUGAAAGCAGGGGAUCUUCGGACCUUGCGCGAUUGAAUGAGCCGAUGUCGGAUUAGCUAGUUGGCGGGGUAAAGGCCCACCAAGGCGACGCUCCGUAGCUGGUCUGAGAGGAUGAUCGGCAACACUGGAACUGGGACACGGUCCAGACUCCUACGGGAGGCAGCAGUGGGGAAUAUUGGACAAUGGGCGCAAGCCUGAUCCAGCCAUACCGCGGGGGUGAAGAAGGCCUUCGGGUUGUAAAGCCCUUUUGUUGGGAAAGAAAAGCAGCAGGUUAAUACCCCGCUGUUCUGACGGGACCCAAAGAAUAAGCACCGGCUAACUUCGU